Molecule: ribosomal RNA, 460 nt
Filed under: uncultured bacterium
Lineage: Bacteria
Description: partial 16S ribosomal RNA
Rfam family: Bacterial small subunit ribosomal RNA
Source: RNAcentral
CCUACGGGAGGCAGCAGUGAGGAAUAUUGGUCAAUGGACGAGAGUCUGAACCAGCCAAGUAGCGUGAAGGAUGACUGCCCUAUGGGUUGUAAACUUCUUUUAUAAAGGAAUAAAACGAGGCACGUGUGCCUUUUUGCAUGUACUUUAUGAAUAAGGAUCGGCUAACUCCGUGCCAGCAGCCGCGGUAAUACGGAGGAUCCGAGCGUUAUCCGGUUUUAUUGGGUUUAAAGGGGGCGUAGAUGGGUUGUUAAGUCAGUUGUGAAAGUUUGCGGCUCAACCGUAAAAUUGCAAUUGAUACUGGCAGUCUAGAGUACAGGUGAGGUAGGCGGAAUGCGUGGUGUAGCGGUGAAAUGCAUAGAUAUCACGAAGAACCCCGAUUGCGAAGGCAGCUUACUAAACUGUGACUGACAUUGAUGCACGAAAGUGUGGGUAUCAAACAGGAUUAGAUACCCCUGUAGUC